AGGAGAAUGUGUUGGGAAGCACAAUCAAAGAGGGUGAUAAUCCCGUAUCUAAAAACCAUAUUGUGGUACUAAGCUAACGAGAAGUAGGGCGGGACACGUGAUAUCCUGUUUGAAGAAGGGGGGACCAUCCUCCAAGGCUAAAUACUCCUGAUUGACCGAUAGUGAACCAGUACUGUGAAGGAAAGGCGAAAAGAACCCCGGUGAGGGGAGUGAAAUAGAACCUGAAACCUUGUACGUACAAGCAGUGGGAGCCCCAUCACUUAAUCCGAUUGGAAGGUGAUGAAAAGCAACCGCACUUAAACAAUGGUAAGAGGAGCGAAGCGAGUCAAACCACCCAAAAGAAGCAGUGGGAUUAAGUGAUGGGGUGACUGCGUACCUUUUGUAUAAUGGGUCAGCGACUUAUAUUUUGUAGCGAGGUUAACUGAAUAGGGGAGCCGAAGGGAAACCGAGUCUUAACUGGGCGAGUAGUUGCAAGGUAUAGACCCGAAACCCGGUGAUCUAGCCAUGGGCAGGUUGAAGGUUGGGUAACACUAACUGGAGGACCGAACCGACUAAUGUUGAAAAAUUAGCGGAUGACUUGUGGCUGGGGGUGAAAGGCCAAUCAAACCGGGAGAUAGCUGGUUCUCCCCGAAAUCUAUUUAGGUAGAGCCUUGAGGUGACACCUUUGGGGGUAGAGCACUGUUUCGGCUAGGGGGCCAUCCCGGCUUACCAACCCGAUGCAAACUACGAAUACCAAAGAGUGAUACUCAGGAGACACACGGCGGGUGCUAACGUCCGUCGUGGAGAGGGAAACAACCCAGACCGCCAGCUAAGGUCCCCAAGUCUAUAUUAAGUGGGAAACGAAGUGGGAAGGCUUAGACAGCUAGGAUGUUGGCUUAGAAGCAGCCAUCAUUUAAAGAAAGCGUAAUAGCUCACUAGUCGAGUCGGCCUGCGCGGAAGAUGUAACGGGGCUGAAAUAUAGCACCGAAGCUGCGGCAUCAGAAUUUAUUCUGUUGGGUAGGGGAGCGUUGUGUAAGCGGAAGAAGGUUCAUCGAGAGGUGGGCUGGACGUAUCACAAGUGCGAAUGCUGACAUAAGUAACGAUAAAACGGGUGAAAAACCCGUUCGCCGGAAGACCAAGGGUUCCUGUCCAACGUUAAUCGGGGCAGGGUGAGUCGGCUCCUAAGGCGAGGCUGAAAAGCGUAGUCGAUGGGAAACAGGUUAAUAUUCCUGUACUUGGUAAAGCUGCGAUGUGGGGACGGAGUAGGUUAGGUUAUCGCACUGUUGGAUAUGUGCGUUUAAGUUGGUAGGUGGGAAGUUUAGGCAAAUCCGGGCUUCCUUAACACAGAGAGAUGAUGACGAGGCUCUACGGAGCUGAAGUAACUGAUACCACACUUCCAGGAAAAGCCACUAAGCGAAAGGCUUUACUAAACCGUACUGAAAACCGACACAGGUGGUCAGGUAGAGAAUACUCAGGCGCUUGAGAGAACUCGGGUGAAGGAACUAGGCAAAAUAGCACCGUAACUUCGGGAGAAGGUGCGCCGGCGUAGAUUGUAAGGGCUAGCCCCUGAAGGUUGAACCGGUCGAAGAUACCAGCUGGCUGCAACUGUUUAUUAAAAACACAGCACUCUGCAAACACGAAAGUGGACGUAUAGGGUGUGAUGCCUGCCCGGUGCUGGAAGGUUAAUUGAUGGUGUAAUCGCAAGAGAAGCACCUGAUCGAAGCCCCAGUAAACGGCGGCCGUAACUAUAACGGUCCUAAGGUAGCGAAAUUCCUUGUCGGGUAAGUUCCGACCUGCACGAAUGGCAUAAUGAUGGCCAGGCUGUCUCC
This 1808-nucleotide ribosomal RNA is filed under the name Haemophilus influenzae. RNAcentral describes it as "partial 23S ribosomal RNA". It matches the Rfam family "Bacterial large subunit ribosomal RNA", at positions 331 to 2023 of the family's 2925-position model. The record is from RNAcentral. Lineage: Bacteria; Pseudomonadati; Pseudomonadota; Gammaproteobacteria; Pasteurellales; Pasteurellaceae.